This 382-nucleotide long non-coding RNA is filed under the name Populus tremula. RNAcentral describes it as "long non-coding RNA (PTRE_LNC002633)". The record is from RNAcentral. Lineage: Eukaryota; Viridiplantae; Streptophyta; Magnoliopsida; Malpighiales; Salicaceae.
CAUGCAAAGUUGACCUUAUUAAGCAUAAAAUAAAUUAGAAAUAACUGGGGCUAUACAUGAGGUUAUCGUGACAGGUCAUGCAUAGUUGACACUACAGAUAAAUUUAUAGAAAAGCUGGGUUAGGCAUGCACAAGCUGAAGUCUCAAGGUUACAUUUGAAAAAAAAAAAUUGUAUGCACUGAAUGCAGAAGAGAUAUUGAUACAUCAGCUUGGUGAAUGGUGUUGAAUUUUUUGAGGAACAGAGUAGGACAAACAGUUUAAAAGAUAGGGAACUAUAGUAGGUAUAGACAUGAAAGCUACUAUAGCAGUAACAAUGAUUCCUUUCUAGCAGACAACCACGAAUUUAGCAACAUAUGCACUUGGGUCUUCAACCAAGAAAAACA